Molecule: ribosomal RNA, 452 nt
Filed under: Prevotella melaninogenica
Lineage: Bacteria; Pseudomonadati; Bacteroidota; Bacteroidia; Bacteroidales; Prevotellaceae
Description: bacterial SSU rRNA
Rfam family: Bacterial small subunit ribosomal RNA
Source: RNAcentral
GAUGAACGCUAGCUACAGGCUUAACACAUGCAAGUCGAGGGGAAACGGCAUUGAGUGCUUGCACUUUUUGGACGUCGACCGGCGCACGGGUGAGUAACGCGUAUCCAACCUUCCCAUUACUGUGGGAUAACCUGCCGAAAGGCAGACUAAUACCGCAUAGUCUUCGAUGACGGCAUCAGAUUUGAAGUAAAGAUUUAUCGGUAAUGGAUGGGGAUGCGUCUGAUUAGCUUGUUGGCGGGGUAACGGCCCACCAAGGCAACGAUCAGUAGGGGUUCUGAGAGGAAGGUCCCCCACAUUGGAACUGAGACACGGUCCAAACUCCUACGGGAGGCAGCAGUGAGGAAUAUUGGUCAAUGGACGGAAGUCUGAACCAGCCAAGUAGCGUGCAGGAUGACAGCCCUAUGGGUUGUAAACUGCUUUUGUAUGGGGAUAAAGUUAGGGACGUGUCCCUA